RNAcentral lists this ribosomal RNA (645 nucleotides) under Anthracoidea curvulae. Its description in RNAcentral is "LSU rRNA". It matches the Rfam family "Eukaryotic large subunit ribosomal RNA", at positions 79 to 654 of the family's 3401-position model. The record is from RNAcentral. Lineage: Eukaryota; Fungi; Basidiomycota; Ustilaginomycetes; Ustilaginales; Anthracoideaceae.
CCUAGUAACGGCGAGUGAAGAGGGAAGAGCCCAAGAUUGAAAGCUGGCGUCGUUUGCGGCGUUCCGCAUUGUAAUCUCAAGAAGCGUUAUCCGCGUCGGACCAGGUCCAAGUCUCCUGGAAAGGAGCAUCAUGGAGGGUGAAAAUCCCGUGCGUGACCUGGAGCCACCGAAGCACUGCGAUGCGUUUUUUCUCAGAGUCGAGUUGUUUGGGAAUGCAGCUCAAAAUGGGUGGUAAAUGCCAUCUAAGGCUAAAUACAGGGGAGAGACCGAUAGCGAACAAGUACCGUGAGGGAAAGAUGCAAAGAACUUUGGAAAGAGAGUUAAACAGUACGUGAAAUUGCCAGAAGGGAAGGGUAGGAAGUCAGAGAUGCGGGGGCGCGGUUCAGGCGUGUGUCUUUCGGGAUGCCGGCGAAGACUGCGUGACUCUGCAGGCCAACGUCGGUUCUGUGGCGCGGGAAAGCGGGGUUGGGAAUGUGGCAUCUUCUUCGGGAGGUGUGUUUAUAGACCGGCUCUUGGACUGGACCAGCGACUGGGACCGUGGUUUUGACAGUGUGAUGCGGCAGGGGAGCAAUCUGCGGCCGUGUUAGGUCUUCGGGCACUAUUCACACUGAGGGCGUUGGCUUAAUGGCCGUCUACCACCCGUCU